AUGCCACCCACCGACGGCAGGCGCAACCCCACCCAACCUCAUCUUGAGGUGGUGAUCUCGACUAGCGAAGCGACUUCCUCAUCUCCGGCCCCUGAUCCGUGGCAAUGGGAUUGCUCGGGCUCAAGCCAGGGCGAAAUCCCUGCUCGGCUCGCCGACGGUGGCAGCGACGGCACCCGUGGGUGUCGUUUUCCUUCUUGGAGGCGCUGCCAUGGCCUCUACCCGUGCCCCUCUUCGAGCAUUGAGGGAAACCCUUGGUCCGGUUCUUCGGAUCGGAUGGCGACGACGUCACGACGUUGUGCCCCUUCUUGA
Molecule: ribosomal RNA, 309 nt
Filed under: Triticum aestivum (bread wheat)
Lineage: Eukaryota; Viridiplantae; Streptophyta; Magnoliopsida; Poales; Poaceae
Description: partial small subunit ribosomal RNA
Source: RNAcentral